RNAcentral lists this long non-coding RNA (661 nucleotides) under Rattus norvegicus (Norway rat). Its description in RNAcentral is "long non-coding RNA NONRATT015412". The record is from RNAcentral. Lineage: Eukaryota; Metazoa; Chordata; Mammalia; Rodentia; Muridae.
GAAGAGAAAGGGGGGAGGGAAGCUCACAGGACCCAGGAGCUUAAGACAUGGAGGCUCACAGCACUCACACAGGAAGCCGAGAACAUCACAAGAUUCAUUACAGCCUCUCUGUGAGGCUACAGGAUCAGAGAGCAAUCAGUGGGGGAGGAGAGACUCUGCUGGGGACCUGCGUGCACAUCAGGCAGGGAAUACCCGGUAGGCAGCGUUAGUGGACAGUCUGAGGCAUUAAGGACCUAAUCCAGGGAGCCCCAGAGGAUUGAGCAUCUUAAUGAACACAUCUUACUCUUUCAUUUCACAUCACCUCGACCCAUGCCCUUCUAACUCUGCCAGCCACACAAGUGGAGCUUUUUAGUGUUAUAGCUGCCCCAGAGUCACCCAUGUGCCUGUACGUAGCCCCAGUAAAUGGAUGGAUUCACUGUUCCAGUUAGAUUUCUGUUGCCGUGAUAGACACCAUGACAAAAGGCAACUCGGGGGCUGGAGAGAAGGCUCAGUGGUUAAGAGCACUGACUGCUCUUCCAGAGGUCCUGAGUUCAAUUCCCAGCAACCACAUGGUGGCUCACAACCAUCUGUAAUGGGAUGUGAUGCCCUCUUCUGGUGUGUCUGAAGACAUCAACAGUGUACUCAUAUACAUAAAAUAAAUAAACCUUAAAAAUAAAGGCAA